RNAcentral lists this transfer RNA (76 nucleotides) under Candidatus Pelagibacteraceae bacterium. Its description in RNAcentral is "tRNA-Tyr". It matches the Rfam family "tRNA". From Rfam's summary of the family: Transfer RNA (tRNA) molecules are approximately 80 nucleotides in length. Their secondary structure includes four short double-helical elements and three loops (D, anti-codon, and T loops). The record is from RNAcentral. Lineage: Bacteria; Pseudomonadati; Pseudomonadota; Alphaproteobacteria; Candidatus Pelagibacterales; Candidatus Pelagibacteraceae.
CUCAACAUAGCUCAAUUGGUAGAGCAAAGGACUGUAGUUCCUUAGGUCAUCGGUUCGAUUCCGGUUGUUGAGACAA